RNAcentral lists this transfer RNA (75 nucleotides) under Allobrachymonas sp. RNAcentral describes it as "tRNA-OTHER". It matches the Rfam family "tRNA". Rfam says of the family: Transfer RNA (tRNA) molecules are approximately 80 nucleotides in length. Their secondary structure includes four short double-helical elements and three loops (D, anti-codon, and T loops). Lineage: Bacteria; Pseudomonadati; Pseudomonadota; Betaproteobacteria; Burkholderiales; Comamonadaceae. The record is from RNAcentral.
CCACUGUGUAGCUCAGAUGGUAAGAGCACCGAACGCUAAUUCGGCUGUCGUGGGUUCGACUCCCGCCACACUGAC